AUGGAUAUGGUUUGGGUCGCUAAAUGCUUGGAGCUUGCACGAGUAAGGAGUCGUUGUGGUGUACGGACUGUUAUGUUCCGUGCUUAAUAUUUAAAUCCUUAUGAACUUAUUAAACUUGCGUUUUGAACUUUAACUUAUAAACUAUGGACUUAUGUUUUUGGAUUUACGUUUAUGCUUCCGCUGUUUAAACUAAACUUAGUUGACUAGCUUUGGUCAUCAAUCGUAUUGUGGUUGAUUUCAUUUACUAAAUUACAUUGUUCAAUAUGAUUGGUGGCUCGAUCCUGGUCACGUCACGCCUCCAAGCGGUGGUACUC
Molecule: long non-coding RNA, 314 nt
Filed under: Helianthus annuus (common sunflower)
Lineage: Eukaryota; Viridiplantae; Streptophyta; Magnoliopsida; Asterales; Asteraceae
Description: hypothetical non coding rna
Source: RNAcentral